AUGUUAUUAAUAAAUAUUGAUUUAAAUGAUGAAAAUAUAUUAUUGUGAUUGUAACUUCAAUCCAACUGGACUUUGGCUGAUAAAAUUCGACGGGUAAUGAGAAAAUCGCUAUAUUCUGCACAAAAGACAUGCUAUCAUCCAUAUCUAGAACUUCUAAUAACACACAUUCAGAAUCCGCUCUUUUUCUACAGGACACGAAUACAAACUCCACGACUAUUAGAAUAGAGGGCCACCUGAGAUUUGCCUAUGCUAUGACACCACGAAUUCUAGCUUGAGCCAUCCUCACGGCGAGUCUAAUUAGGAGUAUAUAAUAAAGGAGUAUCGCUGCAAAGGCAAGAAAAAUACUGUAAGGCCGUUCAAUAAUAUUCUGUGGUUCUAACAGUUUCAGAAUGAGAAAAGAAAAUUCUGUAAAAUAGGGGUACGCCAUCCAGCUUGGUAUCAUAAUGACUCAAGUACAAGACCGAGAAAUUUGUUGAAUUCUUUCAACAAAGUUGGUGAUAACAAUGUUUCAGGAAGCCAGUUUAGACCAGGU
Daucus carota subsp. sativus is the source of this 532-nucleotide long non-coding RNA. RefSeq lists it as uncharacterized. Lineage: Eukaryota; Viridiplantae; Streptophyta; Magnoliopsida; Apiales; Apiaceae. The record is from RefSeq and is a predicted model, not a curated record. The transcript is spliced from 3 exons.